This is a long non-coding RNA of Cynara cardunculus var. scolymus (artichoke), 252 nucleotides long. RefSeq lists it as uncharacterized. NCBI's taxonomy places the organism in Eukaryota, Viridiplantae, Streptophyta, Magnoliopsida, Asterales, Asteraceae. The transcript is spliced from 3 exons. The record is from RefSeq and is a predicted model, not a curated record.
CUCUUGAUUUUUUUAACAGUCAAUUGGAGACUUGAUGAAUGGGUUAGACCGGAACAACUUGACCUUGAUUCAGUAGAAAAUGAUGUAGAUGAAAAGGUGGAAGACAAGGUUACAGGUUUGAAAAUGACACGCCACCAGAAACGUAAGAUUAAUGAGACUCAUGUUGAGAUGGGAGAGAAAUUCCCACAUACCAUAUAAGGAGUCAAAAUUGGCCAUGCUUCUUCAAUAUUCCUUAAGUGGUCAUAGAAGAGU